AUGAAGUGGUCCGCAGGAACUGUCCCUGCUCCCCGUGGGUACUUCUGCACCAGCAAACUCCAGAGGGCCCCUGAGUCCAGAGAUCUCAAGUGCAACCAGCUCUUUGUAAGGCAUGGACACUUCCUGGAGCUUCCUCCCACGUGGAACCUUCCCAGACUUACAGUUGGAGGGAGGUGUUCUGCAUUCCCUGGCCUCGGGGGAUCCCCACGAGCUCACCCCAGCACUGACCAUGGUAGGAGCACUUGGGGACUGCCCUACACCCUGUGCCCUUCAGGACCCUCUGUAUGAGGCUGGGGCUCUGUGCUGCAGGCAUUGGAGGACUGCAAUGUCUGCACAUAUUGGAGAAGUUCAGUGCCCAGUUCUGCAGUAUUGCCUUGGAAAUGCCUCCUUUUGACUUUUGUUCCUUGUUUCUUGGGGAGCCUAUCAAGAGAGUGGAUUUAACUUGGUAAGUACCUUUGGCUGUCACUGUUACUAACAUGCUCAAACUUGGAUAAUUUAAUUUCUGUCCUUUUGUAAAAACAGGUUUGUUUUUCAGACCUUUUCCCCCUUGAGAGCACAAUGAUGUAAAUGCUAGCAGAGCUCUGUGCAUUUAUGCAUGCACGUGUCCCAGAGCGUAGAAGCACAGUUUCCCGUAAACAUUUCCAAGCUGGGAACAAAAGCAGGUUUUCACAUUAAAAG
Molecule: long non-coding RNA, 678 nt
Filed under: Corvus moneduloides (New Caledonian crow)
Lineage: Eukaryota; Metazoa; Chordata; Aves; Passeriformes; Corvidae
Description: lncRNA (ENSCMUG00000017088.1)
Source: RNAcentral